CAUGCCGCUGCACUCCAGCCUGGGCCACAGAGCAAGACCCUGUCAAAUAAAUAAAUAAGCUGUCUUUUAAAAAUCACUGUAAUUAAAAACAAAAACUCCUGGAUACCUAAGGUUGGCAAAAUGCUGAUCGUUGUUGUGGCUGGCUGAAUUCUAAAGAUUUCAAGAUUGUAAUUUUGUACUGCUCUGAAGGGACUUUGCAGAUGGAAUUUAGAUGACUAAGUAGCUGACGUUAAAACAGGGAAAUUAGCCUGGGUUAUCCAGGCAGGCCCUUAAAAACAGAGGAGGGAGGCAGAAGAGUCAGAGAGAUAAGGCAGAAACAGAAAGCAGGAGAGGUGAGGGUGAAGGGGGAGAGGGACUAUUUACACUUCCCUUUAGGUUAUAGGCACAGAGAAACCUUUAAGCUGAACUUAAAAUAUGUGAGUAGCUUUAGGCUAAGCUUGAUUUAACAGGGAAAAACAGGACUUUGCAAAAAUUCUUUUAGGGAGUGUACUAUCGAGCACAUUUGAAGACCACAGGCCUGGAAAGCGGGGAAGACGGGACCCAGAGUCCCCCGCAGCAGCGUCACGGCCCAGCUCUGGUUCUCCAGUUGGGCUGCUGUUUUUCCUUUUUUUCUCUUCCGCCAGGAUGCCAGGCGCUGCUGAAAGCUGCAGCCGAAAGGAUUUAGAAUUCCUUACAACGGAGAAAGGGUCUUUGCUCAGACAACAUGGACUUAAGAGAUGGAAGAGCCAAAAAGGCUUGAAAACAGUCUCGAAGAGCGGCUUCCUGGUAGCUAGAAGCUUAAGUGGGGACAGAUGAGCUUAACUGGCAAGCCUGCGUGUGUGCUCUCCAGUCCCCGUGAUUCAGUUUAAAUCUGGGCGGGUCUCCUCAAAGACAGUUCCAGAAGGGGCCACGUGAGGGCAGUAAGAGCCUCUCAAUGCCUGUUUUUGGGGGAAGAGAGAAGUGAGGGCGGAGCGCGGGGAGUGUCCCAGGCCUGGCUACCCGGAUAACUUCCCCAGAAGAAGCUAUGCUCGGGCCUUCCCAUCGUCCCACUCAAGAGCUUUCUUCAUAUUGGUCGCUUGGUAGAAUUCUGUGUUCUGAAGAGGCAAGAAUUGAGGUUGCUGCAGACCUGUAUGGAUUCGCCACCAGUAACAAGAUCUCAGAACACUGGGAAAAUCGAUGCAAAAAAAAAAAAAGGUUUCUGUUGCUCUAUUAGGAUGAUGUCUGAAUUUGAACUCACCACACGAGGGAAAAGAAGUCGACAGAGACUUGAGCUGUGCCUAAACAACUGUGUCCUGAUUUCCCCAGGCCCUACACAGCUCAUGGUAUACGGAAUGCAAGGGAAGAACUGCUUGCAGGCCACAGGGUGGACAAGGCCCUGGAGCUCUGCGAAACCAGGAAGGCACCAUGGAUGGCUCUGGCUUCCAGAAGUUUAAUAGAAAAAAAAAGGCAAACAAACAUUAAGACAGAAAAUGCAUGCAGCAUAUAGCGCCCACAGCUCCUUUUUCUUGGCGUGCCCCUGGUCCCUGCAGCCACUUGGCCAAGUGCAGUGUCUGUCUUCCUUCAGAUCCUCUAUUGCUGUGCACUUCUCAAGCCUAGGGCCACGUCUUUCCAUCUUUGGACAAGUGCCAGUGCCUUUCCUGACACAUUGUAAGUGCUGAAUAGAUAGUAAAUGGCUGACUGAACAAAUGCAAUUUACAACUAUAUAAUGGAAGAUGUGGAAGUAAUCAGGGUGUAGUUUUUUUUUUUUCUUGGAUUAUCCGUUUUCUCUCUGGGAUCCAUGGUGGUUUAUAUACAAAAUCUCAAGGUCAAUGUCUCCUUAGUUGGGGAGCCUAAGUAGGAAAAAUAGGAAAUGGCUAAAGCAUUAAGAAAAAGAUAAAGAAGUGUUACAUGUUCUUAUGAAAACACAGACACUGUAGAGAGAAAGUCUGCAGGACCCUAAUGAGCUAACUGCAAAGGGGCUAUAAAUUCUACAUGGUGUCUAUCUGCAAGCCAGGGCUACCUCAAGGUCUAAGACCCUUGAUGUUGCUGUCUUAUGAAUGUGUGAAGAUAGGUUUCAAUUGAGAUUGAUUAGAAAAGGUAUCUUGCCCCUAAUUGAAAAUUGGACAAAUGAUAAGAGCAGGUAAAUCACAGGAGGGACAAAUUCCCCCAGAAGCUGUAAAAUGCUAGAUUGACGCCAAUCACCCAGACAGUGUUGUAACUGUCAUCAUCAGUUUUGUGACAAGUGAACAAGAUUAUUUGAAAUCGUGGUUGGAAUUAUAAUAAUAGCUAACAUUUAUAGUGUUGUCUGUCCCUGUCAACCUCUUUCCCCUGGUGUGACUUUAUCCCGCUAUAACAACAGAAAUUCAUAAAUGAAAAAAAAAUUGUUUUCUGAAAUGCAUUUACUGUUAAGCACCUCGUACUAAUUACCUCUUUUAAUAUUCAUCUGUAAGGUAGAUAUUAUUAUUCCCAUUUUAGAAAUGCUGACCCAGAUGCACAGAGAGGUUAAGUAACUUGCUCAAAGACACAUAGCUGAGUAAUGGUUGCAGAGUAUAAAUUCAGGACGAUCUCUCCCAAGAGACUGCAGUGUACAAUAUUGCUUGCCAAUGAAUUCUCACAGGCAGAUGAAAUAAAAAGGCAGGUAUUUUCUGAAAAGCAAGCCCAUUCUAUAGUGUUAACUCAAAGUCUGGAGUUGUUCCCCAGAUUGGUGAUACCAGUUUUAGGGUAGUGGUGAUGAUGCUGAAAUUUCCAGGGACCUUAAAACACACUUGGGAGUUGGGGGAGCCAUUUUUUCAACCUCCAUUGUGGGAGAUAAUCAAAUCUUAGUCAUCUCUUGUGUGUGACUAAUACCCAUUGCCAGGGCUGUUCCAUUCUGCCGCAGAAGCCACUGUAAUGACUAAGCCAUCAAGAUGGAUUUUUUCCUGAUGACAUUUGCUGCACAGGACUAAAUUCUAUUAAGCCAGCCUUUUCGAGUCUGGAUCUGGAGGAGUCAUUGUAUCACUGUCUUUGAAAAUUGGGCUAAAGGGGGUGGUAUCUAUUAAUAUACCGAGGCUCUAGUUUCCCUCCUCCUAGGAUGCCUGACCUCUCCGGCCCAUUCCUGUCUCUUUCUUACUGAACCUGCUGUGCCUGUAUUGUGGGAGCCAGCAUGACCUCAUCGCCCUGAGCAUGGGAGUGUUGGGCUGGGCCAGGGCCCUCUCAGUGCCCUCCCAGGCAGAGCCUCCACCCUGGGUUUUACAAUUACUCAGGGGCCACAGAAGGUGGAUGGUGCUAAAUUAACGCAGCAAACCAGAAAAAAAAAAAAAGCAAGGACCCACCAUUCAAUAUACCAAUGCUUUUAUUUUAAAGCAGACACUAACUGAGGCCGUUUCUGACUUUGACAUCCUAUAAUUACGAUCCUGAGAAACGUUUAUUUAGACAACAACACAUAAAUUAGUUGAUGACUUCUCUUGUUACUUAUACCUCACAAAGGUCAGAGAUACAGAGCCAAGAACAAUUAUCUUGUCAUUAACUUAAAUUCUUUUGAGUUCUAAUUAUUGGGGUAUUUAGCCUCUUCCCAACUAAAACGCCAACCUUUUCCCCAGCUUCUGAGAAUAAAGAAAAUCUGAUUCACUCCCCUGCUUAAAACCCGUGAGUCCCUUCAUCUCCAGGGUGAAAGCCAAUCCUUUUCUCAUGGAACAGUCCUUCAUUAUCCAUUCCCUGCCUACCUCUUUAACCUUACCUUUUAUUAUUUUUUUAA
This is a long non-coding RNA of Gorilla gorilla gorilla (western lowland gorilla), 3691 nucleotides long. RefSeq lists it as uncharacterized. The transcript has 3 exons. The record is from RefSeq and is a predicted model, not a curated record. Lineage: Eukaryota; Metazoa; Chordata; Mammalia; Primates; Hominidae.